Molecule: ribosomal RNA, 433 nt
Filed under: uncultured bacterium
Lineage: Bacteria
Description: partial 16S ribosomal RNA
Rfam family: Bacterial small subunit ribosomal RNA
Source: RNAcentral
AACGAACGCUGGCGGCAGGCCUAACACAUGCAAGUCGAGCGAGGACUUCGGUCCUAGCGGCGGACGGGUGAGUAACGCGUGGGAACGUGCCCUUUGCUUCGGAAUAGCCCUGGGAAACUGGGAGUAAUACCGGAUGAGCCCUUUGGGGGAAAGAUUUAUCGGCGAAGGAUCGGCCCGCGUUGGAUUAGGUAGUUGGUGGGGUAAUGGCCUACCAAGCCGACGAUCCAUAGCUGGUUUGAGAGGAUGAUCAGCCACACUGGGACUGAGACACGGCCCAGACUCUUACGGGAGGGAGCAGUGGGGAAUCUUGGACAAUGGGGGAAACCCUGAUCUAGCCAUGCCGGGUGAGCGAUGAAGGCCUUAGGGUUGUAAAGCUCUUUAAGCUGGGAAGAUAAUGACGGUACCAGCAGAAGAAGCCCCGGCUAACUCCGUG